CAACACGCUGUCCCUCCGCUCUAGGUCUGGCCCAGCAUGCUGUCCCUCCGCUCUAGGUCUGGCCCAACACGCUGUCCCUCCGCUCUAGGUCUGGCCCAACACAUCCCUCCGCUCUAGGUCUGGCCCAACACGCUGUCUCUCCCCUCUAGGUCUGGCCCAACACGCUGUCUCUCCCCUCUAGGUCUGGCCCAACAUGUCCCUCCGCUCUAGGUCUGGCCCAACACACUCUCCCUCCGCUCUAGGUCUGGCCCAACAUGUCCCUCUGCUCUAGGUCUGGCCCAACACACUGUCCCUCCACUCUAGGUCUGGCCCAACACACUGUCCCUCCGCUCUAGGUCUGGCCCAACACGUCCCUCCGCUCUAGGUCUGGCCCAACACACUCUCCCUCCGCUCUAGGUCUGGCCCAACAUGUCCCUCUGCUCUAGGUCUGGCCCAGCACGCUGUCCCUCCGCUCUAGGACUGGCCCAACACGCUGUCCCUCCGCUCUAGGACUGGCCCAACACACUGUCCCUCGGCUCUAGGUCUGGCCCAGCACGCUGUCCCUCCGCUCUAGGUCUGGCCCAACACACUGUCCCUCCACUCUAGGUCUGGCCCAACACGCUGUCCCUCCGCUCUAGGUCUGGCCCAACACACUGUCCCUCCGCUCUAGGUCUGGCCCAACACGUCCCUCCGCUCUAGGUCUGGCCCAACACGCUGUCUCUCCCCUCUAGGUCUGGCCCAACACACUGUCCCUCCGCUCUAGGUCUGGCCCAACACGCUGUCCCUCCGCUCUAGGUCUGGCCCAACACGUCCCUCCGCUCCAGGUCUGGCUCAACACGUCCCUCCCCUCUAGGUCUGGCCCAACACACAGAGACUAAGACAGGCGAGGUCUCCAUACGUCAGUGCUGACGUACUUCAAAACCCCACUGUGACACACAUGCUUUUUGGCACAAGGUGCUCUUAAACAACACCCCUCCCCUCUCUCCUCCAUAUGCUCUCACUCCCCAAGUGUCACAGAGAAAAGGUGAGACAGACAAUGAUCAUCACCUCAUUUGCAUCACUGCCAUCUCUCCAGGCAGAGCAGAACAUAGCAGAGCACCUACCUGUUUCUAAAAUAACUGGGAACAGUCACCUCCCUGCCUCAUACUGAGCACACACGCAAACGAUACAUCAUUAUGCAUCUGAUGCAGCAUUAAAUUGAAAAGAUCAGCCAGAAUAGGAAACAGAUAAAAUGGCACGAUUCAGGUGAAAAUGAAUUAUUUGUCUGAAAAUAAAAUAGGAAGCCCGGUAUGGUCCAUUUGCCUCUGAGGCAUUGAGCUGGGAUUCUUAGUAGAGUCCUUCCUUGGCUCUAGAAAAGCCCAGUAACAAUUCAAAACACAGAUCUAAAUAAAUCUGAAAACUGAUCAGUGGUCACUCAGAUUGAAAUCACCCUAAAUGUCUGAUUAGGGCUCUCUACACAGAUAUUGGUGGAGAUACGAGGAGGAUUGGCCAAAAUAGGCCAGGAUUUUGUGAAAUUGUAUAAAGGAUAAAUGAAAAUUGUGUAUGUAAAAACUCAUCAGUGUUAAUUGGGGAUGUUGAUAUCUGUAUGUCCUUGACAUCCCUUUGUCCCAUUUCUUGCUCUCUUCUGUUCUCUCUUUAGUCACACAUCUGUGGGGUGCACAAUCUUAUAUUUCAACCAUUUUUAUUUUAUUUUUUAAUCUGUACAGUGUAUAAAUAUAUAAAUGUGUACAUAAAAAGAAGAAACUUCUAAAAUAGUUUUUGUUGUUUUUCUAAAGCUGAUUUACUGUGGUAUUUCAUAGUGGCUUGUGGCUUUCUCUCCCUAUUUGAUUUCCAUCAGAG
Oncorhynchus tshawytscha (Chinook salmon) is the source of this 1818-nucleotide long non-coding RNA. NCBI's taxonomy places the organism in Eukaryota, Metazoa, Chordata, Actinopteri, Salmoniformes, Salmonidae. The record is from Ensembl.